This 575-nucleotide ribosomal RNA is filed under the name Campylobacter jejuni. RNAcentral's name for it is "partial 23S ribosomal RNA". It matches the Rfam family "Bacterial large subunit ribosomal RNA", at positions 1 to 587 of the family's 2925-position model. The record is from RNAcentral. Lineage: Bacteria; Pseudomonadati; Campylobacterota; Epsilonproteobacteria; Campylobacterales; Campylobacteraceae.
AAAGGUAAGCUACUAAGAGCGAAUGGUGGAUGCCUUGACUGGUAAAGGCGAUGAAGGACGUACUAGACUGCGAUAAGCUACGGGGAGCUGUCAAGAAGCUUUGAUCCGUAGAUUUCCGAAUGGGGCAACCCAAUGUAUAGAGAUAUACAUUACCUAUAUAGGAGCGAACGAGGGGAAUUGAAACAUCUUAGUACCCUCAGGAAAAGAAAUCAAUAGAGAUUGCGUCAGUAGCGGCGAGCGAAAGCGCAAGAGGGCAAACCCAGUGCUUGCACUGGGGGUUGUAGGACUGCAAUGUGCAAGAGCUGAGUUUAGCAGAACAUUCUGGAAAGUAUAGCCAUAGAGGGUGAUAGUCCCGUAUGCGAAAAACAAAGCUUAGCUAGCAGUAUCCUGAGUAGGGCGGGACACGAGGAAUCCUGUCUGAAUCCGGGUCGACCACGAUCCAACCCUAAAUACUAAUACCAGAUCGAUAGUGCACAAGUACCGUGAGGGAAAGGUGAAAAGAACUGAGGUGAUCAGAGUGAAAUAGAACCUGAAACCAUUUGCUUACAAUCAUUCAGAGCACUAUGUAGCAAUAC